This 1381-nucleotide ribosomal RNA is filed under the name metagenome. RNAcentral's name for it is "bacterial SSU rRNA". It matches the Rfam family "Bacterial small subunit ribosomal RNA", at positions 8 to 1372 of the family's 1533-position model. The record is from RNAcentral.
AGAGUUUGAUCCUGGCUCAGGACGAACGCUGGCGGCGUGCCUAAUACAUGCAAGUCGAGCGGACAGAUGGGAGCUUGCUCCCUGAUGUUAGCGGCGGACGGGUGAGUAACACGUGGGUAACCUGCCUGUAAGACUGGGAUAACUCCGGGAAACCGGGGCUAAUACCGGAUGGUUGUUUGAACCGCAUGGUUCAAACAUAAAAGGUGGCUUCGGCUACCACUUACAGAUGGACCCGCGGCGCAUUAGCUAGUUGGUGAGGUAACGGCUCACCAAGGCGACGAUGCGUAGCCGACCUGAGAGGGUGAUCGGCCACACUGGGACUGAGACACGGCCCAGACUCCUACGGGAGGCAGCAGUAGGGAAUCUUCCGCAAUGGACGAAAGUCUGACGGAGCAACGCCGCGUGAGUGAUGAAGGUUUUCGGAUCGUAAAGCUCUGUUGUUAGGGAAGAACAAGUACCGUUCGAAUAGGGCGGUACCUUGACGGUACCUAACCAGAAAGCCACGGCUAACUACGUGCCAGCAGCCGCGGUAAUACGUAGGUGGCAAGCGUUGUCCGGAAUUAUUGGGCGUAAAGGGCUCGCAGGCGGUUUCUUAAGUCUGAUGUGAAAGCCCCCGGCUCAACCGGGGAGGGUCAUUGGAAACUGGGGAACUUGAGUGCAGAAGAGGAGAGUGGAAUUCCACGUGUAGCGGUGAAAUGCGUAGAGAUGUGGAGGAACACCAGUGGCGAAGGCGACUCUCUGGUCUGUAACUGACGCUGAGGAGCGAAAGCGUGGGGAGCGAACAGGAUUAGAUACCCUGGUAGUCCACGCCGUAAACGAUGAGUGCUAAGUGUUAGGGGGUUUCCGCCCCUUAGUGCUGCAGCUAACGCAUUAAGCACUCCGCCUGGGGAGUACGGUCGCAAGACUGAAACUCAAAGGAAUUGACGGGGGCCCGCACAAGCGGUGGAGCAUGUGGUUUAAUUCGAAGCAACGCGAAGAACCUUACCAGGUCUUGACAUCCUCUGACAAUCCUAGAGAUAGGACGUCCCCUUCGGGGGCAGAGUGACAGGUGGUGCAUGGUUGUCGUCAGCUCGUGUCGUGAGAUGUUGGGUUAAGUCCCGCAACGAGCGCAACCCUUGAUCUUAGUUGCCAGCAUUCGGUUGGGCACUCUAAGGUGACUGCCGGUGACAAACCGGAGGAAGGUGGGGAUGACGUCAAAUCAUCAUGCCCCUUAUGACCUGGGCUACACACGUGCUACAAUGGACAGAACAAAGGGCAGCGAAACCGCGAGGUUAAGCCAAUCCCACAAAUCUGUUCUCAGUUCGGAUCGCAGUCUGCAACUCGACUGCGUGAAGCUGGAAUCGCUAGUAAUCGCGGAUCAGCAUGCCGCGGUGAAUACGUU